Molecule: non-coding RNA, 99 nt
Organism: Favolaschia claudopus
Lineage: Eukaryota; Fungi; Basidiomycota; Agaricomycetes; Agaricales; Mycenaceae
Source: the annotation of a GenBank genome assembly
GGUCGAAUGGUGUAGUUGGUUAUCACUUCUGUCUAACAAUAACUAAAAUCACGUGAUCCUGUUCACAGGCGGUCCUCAGUUCGAACCUGGGUUCGAUCA